Molecule: long non-coding RNA, 503 nt
Organism: Panicum virgatum (switchgrass)
Lineage: Eukaryota; Viridiplantae; Streptophyta; Magnoliopsida; Poales; Poaceae
Exons: 2
Source: RefSeq, a predicted model, not a curated record
GGUAGUUGAGGUGGCGUAGUCUCCAGGGCUCCAGCUCCCACGGCUGCUCACAGUCUGGCUGCUGGUGCUGCACGCUGUACUUUCUCCCUAAAAAUGAGCAAUUAAGCAUGCAAUCAGAGAGAAGAACAAUGGUGUCAUCAUUACCUGAGCCUUGGUUUUGUAUGGAGAGGUUUGAAGAUCGUUGGUAGUUUCCCAUUGCAGCCAGGGAAGGGCAACGCCAUCUGCCUCAGCAGGUGAACCUACUUUUGGGAGAGCCACUGGAGUUUCUAUCAUAGCAUGAUGUAACACAUCCUUCUUGGUUGAACUUGUGUCACUUCUUUCUCCAUCAAAAGAUGAAAAGUCAGUGUCUUCAACGUUUGACAGGAAAUCUUCAAAGUAUUGCUCAGCCUCUUCAGUAAGUCGUUUUGACAUCUUUGAUCUAUCAUUGCUCCUCUGGAAGACAUUUACAUGAAGUUUCUUAUUUGUACGUGUACAAUAAUGACUGGAAACAAUUGAAAAGGCAA